AUGCGUUCGUGUAGCCGUGAGGGCGGCCUGUGCUAUAAAUGUGGUCGGGUUCCGCGGGGAGCGGUUGAUUGUUGGAUAUAUGGGCGUGGGCUCUAUUAAAAUAAUGGCUGGGGGCUGCGGCUUUGUGUGCGGGUGGGUCAUGUGACCGUCUCGGGAUGGGGAUCGCCUGGUGUGUCGGUUUUCGGUGUACUGUGGUGGUUGGUUGUUCCCCGUCUGGUGUGAUGGUUAUGUCAAGGUGGUGUAUGUGUGUCGUGCUUUGUUGCUCCUGUCUCAGGGAUGCACCAUGCUGCCCCAGCGUUGGGGCUUUUUGGAGCUCUUGCAACUUGUCCUUGCUCUCCCAAACUGUUGGCGCGUCAUCGACGUGCCGAGUGUGUGCCUUUAAUUGUGGCUUGGGCUUCGGUGGAGCGGUGCUCUCGAUCUCUCGCGGGAGGAUCUCUGCUGUGGGCUCG
RNAcentral lists this long non-coding RNA (449 nucleotides) under Androctonus crassicauda. Lineage: Eukaryota; Metazoa; Arthropoda; Arachnida; Scorpiones; Buthidae. The record is from RNAcentral.